AGCGAACGCUGGCGGCAGGCCUAACACAUGCAAGUCGAACGGACCCUUCGGGGUUAGUGGCGGACGGGUGAGUAACACGUGGGAACGUGCCUUUAGGUUCGGAAUAGCUCCUGGAAACGGGUGGUAAUGCCGAAUGUGCCCUUCGGGGGAAAGAUUUAUCGCCUUUAGAGCGGCCCGCGUCUGAUUAGCUAGUUGGUGAGGUAAUGGCUCACCAAGGCGACGAUCAGUAGCUGGUCUGAGAGGAUGACCAGCCACAUUGGGACUGAGACACGGCCCAAACUCCUACAGGAGGCAGCAGUGGGGAAUCUUGCGCAAUGGGCGAAAGCCUGACGCAGCCAUGCCGCGUGGAUGAUGAAGGUCUUAGGAUUGUAAAAUCCUUUCACCGGUGAAGAUAAUGACUGUAGCCGGAGAAGAAGCCCCGGCUAACUUCGUGCCAGCCGCCGCCGUAA
This 449-nucleotide ribosomal RNA is filed under the name uncultured bacterium. RNAcentral describes it as "partial 16S ribosomal RNA". It matches the Rfam family "Bacterial small subunit ribosomal RNA", at positions 29 to 523 of the family's 1533-position model. The record is from RNAcentral.